UACGUAGGGGGCUAGCGUUGUCCGGAAUCAUUGGGCGUAAAGAGCGUGUAGGCGGUCCGGUAAGUCCGCUGUGAAAGUCGGGGGCUCAACCCUCGAAUGCCGGUGGAUACUGUCGGGCUAGAGUGCGGAAGAGGCGAGUGGAAUUCCUGGUGUAGCGGUGAAAUGCGCAGAUAUCGGGAGGAACACCAGUGGCGAAGGCGGCUUCCUGGACCGGUUCUGACACUGAGGAGCGAAAGCGUGGGGAGCGAUCCGG
RNAcentral lists this ribosomal RNA (253 nucleotides) under uncultured bacterium. RNAcentral's name for it is "partial 16S ribosomal RNA". It matches the Rfam family "Bacterial small subunit ribosomal RNA", at positions 524 to 776 of the family's 1533-position model. The record is from RNAcentral.